Molecule: long non-coding RNA, 611 nt
Organism: Leopardus geoffroyi (Geoffroy's cat)
Lineage: Eukaryota; Metazoa; Chordata; Mammalia; Carnivora; Felidae
Exons: 2
Source: RefSeq, a predicted model, not a curated record
GGCUGCCCGCGGGUUCGGCAGAGGCUCUCGCGGCCCGUAACACGGGGUGGCGCCCCCAGGCGGCAGCAAAACCGAGGCGCUGCUGCCUCCCUGAACGUGGGGAGAAGGCGGCAGGUGGGGAAGGGCCACAUAUGGCCACCGGGAUGACCCUGGCCACGGGACUGUCUAGCGAAAUGCCCUAACCCACCUCCUGGAGUUCCUCAAGGGGUAGAAAACGUCGUCACGAGUUGAGAAGCGCCUGUUGGAUUCCAGAUUUGGAGAAGCGGGUCCAUUUGAAAGAAAACAUUCGGGAAACAUUAGCAGAGGUGGCAGAAAGGUGGGGUGAUCGGAGGCUUGGAUAGUCUCGCAGUCGCUGUGUGGCCUGGAGACAAUCGCUGCACCUCUCUGAUGCUGUUUUCUCACCUGAAAAUGCUUUCAGUCCUCAUGUCAGGGGAUAGUGUUGUCUGCCCGCCUCAGAAUGAAAGCGGGGGAAGGACAUUUUCUCCUAAGUGAAAGAGGGUAUGGUUGGAUAGGAGAAGAGUCUCACAUACACGUCCAGGCCCUUGGGAGACUUGGGGGUGUCUUUGGUUGUGGGGGAUACUCUGUUUUUAAAGUCUUCUCGGGAAAGCUGG